AGAAGGCACACCCGGAGAACUGAAACAUCUUAGUACCCGGAGGAAGAGAAAGAAAAUUCGAUUCCCUUAGUAGCGGCGAGCGAAACGGGAAGAGCCCAAACCAACAAGCUUGCUUGUUGGGGUUGUAGGACACUCUAUACGGAGUUACAAAGGACGACAUUAGACGAAUCAUCUGGAAAGAUGAAUCAAAGAAGGUAAUAAUCCUGUAGUCGAAAAUGUUGUCUCUCUUGAGUGGAUCCUGAGUACGACGGAGCACGUGAAAUUCCGUCGGAAUCUGGGAGGACCAUCUCCUAAGGCUAAAUACUCUCUAGUGACCGAUAGUGAACCAGUACCGUGAGGGAAAGGUGAAAAGCACCCCGGAAGGGGAGUGAAAUAGAACCUGAAACCGUGUGCUUACAAGUAGUCAGAGCCCGUUAAUGGGUGAUGGCGUGCCUUUUGUAGAAUGAACCGGCGAGUUACGAUUUGAUGCAAGGUUAAGCAGUAAAUGUGGAGCCGUAGCGAAAGCGAGUCUGAAUAGGGCGUUUAGUAUUUGGUCGUAGACCCGAAACCAGGUGAUCUACCCUUGGUCAGGUUGAAGUUCAGGUAACACUGAAUGGAGGACCGAACCGACUUACGUUGAAAAGUGAGCGGAUGAACUGAGGGUAGCGGAGAAAUUCCAAUCGAACCUGGAGAUAGCUGGUUCUCUCCGAAAUAGCUUUAGGGCUAGCCUCAAGUGAUGAUUAUUGGAGGUAGAGCACUGUUUGGACGAGGGGCCCCUCUCGGGUUACCGAAUUCAGACAAACUCCGAAUGCCAAUUAAUUUAACUUGGGAGUCAGAACAUGGGUGAUAAGGUCCGUGUUCGAAAGGGAAACAGCCCAGACCACCAGCUAAGGUCCCAAAAUAUAUGUUAAGUGGAAAAGGAUGUGGCGUUGCCCAGACAACUAGGAUGUUGGCUUAGAAGCAGCCAUCAUUUAAAGAGUGCGUAAUAGCUCACUAGUCGAGUGACACUGCGCCGAAAAUGUACCGGGGCUAAACAUAUUACCGAAGCUGUGGAUUGUCCUUUGGACAAUGGUAGGAGAGCGUUCUAAGGGCGUUGAAGCAUGAUCGUAAGGACAUGUGGAGCGCUUAGAAGUGAGAAUGCCGGUGUGAGUAGCGAAAGACGGGUGAGAAUCCCGUCCACCGAUUGACUAAGGUUUCCAGAGGAAGGCUCGUCCGCUCUGGGUUAGUCGGGUCCUAAGCUGAGGCCGACAGGCGUAGGCGAUGGAUAACAGGUUGAUAUUCCUGUACCACCUAUAAUCGUUUUAAUCGAUGGGGGGACGCAGUAGGAUAGGCGAAGCGUGCGAUUGGAUUGCACGUCUAAGCAGUAAGGCUGAGUAUUAGGCAAAUCCGGUACUCGUUAAGGCUGAGCUGUGAUGGGGAGAAGACAUUGNGUCUUCGAGUCGUUGAUUUCACACUGCCGAGAAAAGCCUCUAGAUAGAAAAUAGGUGCCCGUACCGCAAACCGACACAGGUAGUCAAGAUGAGAAUUCUAAGGUGAGCGAGCGAACUCUCGUUAAGGAACUCGGCAAAAUGACCCCGUAACUUCGGGAGAAGGGGUGCUCUUUAGGGUUAACGCCCAGAAGAGCCGCAGUGAAUAGGCCCAAGCGACUGUUUAUCAAAAACACAGGUCUCUGCUAAACCGUAAGGUGAUGUAUAGGGGCUGACGCCUGCCCGGUGCUGGAAGGUUAAGAGGAGUGGUUAGCUUCUGCGAAGCUACGAAUCGAAGCCCCAGUAAACGGCGGCCGUAACUAUAACGGUCCUAAGGUAGCGAAAUUCCUUGUCGGGUAAGUUCCGACCCGCACGAAAGGCGUAACGAUUUGGGCACUGUCUCAACGAGAGACUCGGUGAAAUCAUAGUACCUGUGAAGAUGCAGGUUACCCGCGACAGGACGGAAAGACCCCGUGGAGCUUUACUGUAGCCUGAUAUUGAAAUUCGGCACAGCUUGUACAGGAUAGGUAGGAGCCUUUGAAACGUGAGCGCUAGCUUACGUGGAGGCGCUGGUGGGAUACUACCCUAGCUGUGUUGGCUUUCUAACCCGCACCACUUAUCGUGGUGGGAGACAGUGUCAGGCGGGCAGUUUGACUGGGGCGGUCGCCUCCUAAAAGGUAACGGAGGCGCUCAAAGGUUCCCUCAGAAUGGUUGGAAAUCAUUCAUAGAGUGUAAAGGCAUAAGGGAGCUUGACUGCGAGACCUACAAGUCGAGCAGGGUCGAAAGACGGACUUAGUGAUCCGGUGGUUCCGCAUGGAAGGGCCAUCGCUCAACGGAUAAAAGCUACCCCGGGGAUAACAGGCUUAUCUCCCCCAAGAGUUCACAUCGACGGGGAGGUUUGGCACCUCGAUGUCGGCUCAUCGCAUCCUGGGGCUGUAGUCGGUCCCAAGGGUUGGGCUGUUCGCCCAUUAAAGCGGUACGCGAGCUGGGUUCAGAACGUCGUGAGACAGUUCGGUCCCUAUCCGUCGUGGGCGUAGGAAAUUUGAGAGGAGCUGUCCUUAGUACGAGAGGACCGGGAUGGACAUACCUCUGGUGUACCAGUUGUCGUGCCAACGGCAUAGCUGGGUAGCUAUGUGUGGACGGGAUAAGUGCUGAAAGCAUCUAAGCAUGAAGCCCCCCUCAAGAUGAGAUUUCCCAACUUCGGUUAUAAGAUCCCUCAAAGAUGAUGAGGUUAAUAGGUUCGAGGUGGAAGCAUGGUGACAUGUGGAGCUGACGAAUACUAAUCGAUCGAAGACUUAAUCAA
Molecule: ribosomal RNA, 2748 nt
Filed under: Staphylococcus aureus
Lineage: Bacteria; Bacillati; Bacillota; Bacilli; Caryophanales; Staphylococcaceae
Description: 23S ribosomal RNA
Rfam family: Bacterial large subunit ribosomal RNA
Source: RNAcentral